AGAGUUUGAUCAUGGCUCAGAAUCAACGCUGGCGGCGCGCUUAACACAUGCAAGUCGCACGAGAAAGUGGAGCAAUCCAUGAGUACAGUGGCGUACGGGUGAGUAACACGUGGAUCAUCUACCUCUUAGUGGGGAAUAACCCUGGGAAACCGGGGCUAAUACCGCAUAAGCUCGAGAGAGGAAAGCAGCAAUGCGCUGAGAGAGGAGUCCGCGGCCGAUUAGCUAGUUGGCAGGGUAAACGCCUACCAAGGCAAAGAUCGGUAGCCGGCCUGAGAGGGCACACGGCCACACUGGCACUGAAACACGGGCCAGACUCCUACGGGAGGCAGCAGUGGGGAAUCUUGCACAAUGGGGGAAACCCUGAUGCAGCGACGCCGCGUGAGCGAUGAAGCCCUUCGGGGUGUAAAGCUCUUUCGGCAGGGACGAUCAUGACGGUACCUGCAGAAGCAGCUGCGGCUAACUACGUGCCAGCAGCCGCGGUAAUACGUAGGCAGCGAGCGUUGUUCGGAGUUACUGGGCGUAAAGGGUGUGUAGGCGGUUGCUUAAGUUUGGUGUGAAAUCUCCCGGCUCAACUGGGAGGGUGCGCCGAAUACUGAGUGACUCGAGUGCGGGAGAGGAGAGUGGAAUUCCUGGUGUAGCGGUGAAAUGCGUAGAUAUCAGGAGGAACACCGGCGGUGUAGACGGCUCUCUGGACCGUAACUGACGCUGAGACACGAAAGCGUGGGUAGCAAACAGGAUUAGAUACCCUGGUAGUCCACGCCCUAAACGAUGCAUAUUUGGUGUGGGUCAUUCAGUUGAUCCGUGCCGGAGCUAACGCGUUAAAUAUGCCGCCUGGGGAGUACAGUCGCAAGGCUGAAACUCAAAGGAAUUGACGGGGGCCCGCACAAGCGGUGGAGCAUGUGGUUCAAUUCGACGCAACGCGAAGAACCUUACCUGGGCUCGAAC
RNAcentral lists this ribosomal RNA (945 nucleotides) under uncultured bacterium. Its description in RNAcentral is "bacterial SSU rRNA". It matches the Rfam family "Bacterial small subunit ribosomal RNA", at positions 8 to 986 of the family's 1533-position model. The record is from RNAcentral.